AAAUUCAUCAGGAUCUUGUGCACCCGGUUCAUGCAAGUGCGGCUUGGAUCCGCACUAAAAUCACCGAACCCAACGCUUGCCGACCAAUAGGGGAGACUUGGUGACGGUGACACAAGACUCGCAGCGCUCUCUUGGCGUAUGAAGAUUUCAAGUCGUCUCAAAGUCUUUUGAAGAACAGGACGACAUGUCAGAGAAAAAGCACACGGAAGAGACGAGACGUUGUGGGUUUCUCUCUGUCAUCCAUCCGAAUAAUGACGAAAGGUGGAUUAACACGAACUGAGGGCGUCACAUGGGAGAUUCCACAGCGACGAAACGUGCAUCGCGCCAGCUGGACGUUGCUCGGUCCAUUGUCCAUACCCAUGGAGGAGCAGUGGGAGUAUGGUUCUCUUUGCAUGUGAAUUUGAAAAGGCAGGGAAACACCACAUUAAAAGUAGAAAAUGACAACACCGCCCGUGCUCCGUGCUGAUUUGACCUCUCCACCCAUUUUCUUCUACAUGAGGUCAUCGACUUCACUGUACACAAUAAUAGACCGGCCAAUUGGCCCAAGCUGUUGCUUAACGAAAUGAUAUGUUGACAACAUGGCAUAGACUUAAAAAGGUUCCUUUGCUUCUCAGGUUAAAAUCACCCUUUGCUUCUCAUAUUAGAAUCACUUGAACGUAAUAGCAAUUAUAAAAUUAUUAUAUGCACUCGGUAUAUUGAGGCCCAAUAAAUACGAUCUGUUAAAUCAUAUGAAUCUCAUAUUAUAUCCAUGCAUGACCUGCUGUUUUGUGUGUAAAUAAUAAUGUUGCAUCGCAAUAAAUAUCGACUUUAAAAGUAUCUCAAUCCCACUAUUUGCCAAAAAAAUAUAUAAUAUAGCAACAACAAAAAGAAAGAGCCAAGUGAGAAGGCAGUGCAUCCAUACAAAACAGUGGUUGGGAUUUCUCCACAUACUUUAUGCUCCUUUUUAUUUAAAAGAGACUUGUUUACCAUAUUGAGUUGAAGACGACUGUCCAAAAUCUUGCCCUCCAGCGUUAAAAGAAAAAUUUUGUACCAUUUUGUGUACCAAAUCCCCUCGUCCCCCGUGAUAGAGAACUAUCAUUUCACUAUGAAAAUUAUUAGUUUUUUAAAAAAGCCACUUUUUACACCUUGAAUUACAAAUAUAAUGACAUUCGGGUGCUUUAGUAAAAAGUAGCUCUCUUCUAUGAAUAAUAGAAAAUAUUGGGUACCUUUCACAUAGACUUGAUAUGUACCUAUCACGUUAGUGCUGACAAGGCAAAUCAUUAAUAUACUCAAAUUAUUAAUUUUUCAAAUUUGUAGCACUCAAAUAAAUAUAUAUAAAAAAAUUAGUACUCAAAUGAGGGUCUUUUGCCCUGUUAUUUAAUGGGGUUGGUGUGAGAGGUCGAACUUAGACUUCGACUCUAUGAACAAAUAUAGUGUGAGAGAGUUUGAGUGAGUUUUUCUUUGGAAAUAAAGAUGGUGCAUUGACUUCUAACGUUGGCUGUGGCCUGGUGGCUGCGACUAGGUGGCGCUCAGAAGGCGCUCUGCUCACCCCGGUGUGGAAAAGUGGAAGUAUCUUAUCCGUACGGGCUCGAAACCAGUCGUGCGAGAUCCAGGGACUUUUUGCUCAAUUGCACCUCUCCUGGCCAACUAUAGUUGGGGAAUGUUACGGUACACGAAAUCGAUGUCCACAACUCGACCUUGGAGGUCGCCUCCCCGAAGAACAUAACGAUACUCAACUGCUGCUUGCCUUCAGGAGGAGUAUUCCGAUGCUCAACACCUCGUCCGGGAACUUGGUGGCUACGCUGGACUGGAUGAUUGUAGAGAACAGGACUUGCAAAGAGGCCGGAUCGAACAAGUCGAGCUAUGCCUGUGCAGGCCAAGGACUACGGGGAUGAACGGGGUCAUAUCUGCAUAUGCGAGGACGGGUACAAGGAUGUACAGGUAAUCAACGUAUGUGAUUCCUCAUGCAUUGUCGCGCAUUGUGUGGAUAAUUAAUUAAUUAAUCACUAUGCUAGAGCCUGAUAGAGAACUACUGUAUCUAUGUACUGAUUCCACCUAGUUUUACCCAAAUUGCCGCUUGAUUUGCACUACCCGCUCUCUCUCUCUCUCUCUCUCUCUCCACCUCCACUCUUCGGCUUGCACGUCACGCCAUUGCCACAGCGGCCAUCAUUCACCCACCACCCUAGGUGAGCCCACUGUCGGCCUUCACAUGCCGUCAAACUACCAUGUCCAUGUCGAGAGAGAGAGAGAGCCCUGGCUCUCUCCUUACAUUGCUCGUACGCACCCCCUUUUGUCCACCGGCAACAGUACCUCCACUUUAAAGUAACACCUAUCACAUGACGAAAAAAAACAAAAAAGUACAGAAAAGUACCUGGGAUUAAUAUAUGUGAGAUCUUCACCUUUUUAUGCUGGCUUCGGACAUAGUUGGCCCACCUCUGGACCCAAAAAGAAUAUAAAAAAAAACAUGCUUCACAGGUGAGCGAGCCUACUCAAUCACCAACGUUGAUUUACGUCGGCUCUAUAUAAGACUUACCUCAUCUAAAAAUGAAAUUCACCAGGAUCUUGUGCACCCGGUUCAUGCAAGUGCGGCUUGGAUCUACACUAAAAUCACCGAGCCCAACGCUUGCCGACCAAUAGGGGAGACUUGGUGACAGUGACACAAGACUCGCAGCGCUUUCUUGGCGGAUGAAGAUUUCAAGUCGUCUCAAAGUCUUUUGAAGAACAGGACGACAUGCCAGAGAAAAAGCACACAGAAGAGACGAGACGUUGUGGGUUUCUCUCUGUCAUCCAUCCGAAUAAUGACGAAAGGUG
This 2790-nucleotide long non-coding RNA is filed under the name Eucalyptus grandis. RNAcentral describes it as "long non-coding RNA (EGRA_LNC000598)". The record is from RNAcentral. Lineage: Eukaryota; Viridiplantae; Streptophyta; Magnoliopsida; Myrtales; Myrtaceae.